CACCCCGCCACUCCUGAGCACCGCACACCGGCUUCCUCCCAGUCCCUCAUCUGAGAACUCAUGAAGCCACUUGGAAUCCCUCUCUGCUUUGCCUGGCUCAUUCCAUGUCAAUUUCAGAUCUUCACUUCAGGUCAGCUCCAAGGAGGCUAUCCUUGCCCAUCUUCCUAAAAUAGAGCUCUCAAAACCUGGCUGUUUUCCUUCAGAGCACUGGCCUCCAAUUGCUCCGGUAGAUUGCAAAUGACCUGCUUUCUUUCUGUUCCCGGGCGUUUGGACCCCUGUCUUGGACCGCUGUCGGAUAGUAAAUCCCAAGUAAGGUACCUGCCGUCGGCAGAUUUGAGCUUUCUUCUUGGACACCUAAUACCCAGAGUCCUCCAGGCUCCGGUAGAUUGCAAAUGACCUGCUUUCUUUCUGUUCCCGGGCUGCGUUCGGACCCCUGUCGGAGAGUAAAUCCGAAAAAAACAAACAAAGACAUGGAUUUACUGUGCAUAUUAGCAGAUCCAUACUGGAAAAUGCAUGGAGGUUUCAUAUACACCACUUACAGUAAGUAAUAACUCAGAGUAUAAAGUCGAAAAGAAAGAAUCUGAAAUAUUAGACUUGUUCUGAAAUAAGCUUACCUAGGAUGAUACCACUUUCACUUAAUCAGGAUUUCCCAACUAUUUAACAGUGGCAAAUAUAAAAAAUCUGGUAGUUAAAAUACACAGCAGUCACUUCAUAUUACUGCCUCCCUCAACCCACUCAACUUCUGAAGAACAGGGCUUUUUCAAGUUUUGUUCCCCUUUAAGUUUUAAUAGAAAAAAAAAAAAAGUUUUAAGUCAUGUUGUACCAAUAUAUCCCCAGCAAGAAUUGCAAUUUACCAAGGUUUUCACGUGUUUUGAGAGAAAUCUUACUGAAAGACUAGUGAUGUCCAUUUUCCAGUAAAUACUGAGCGAAAAACAAUUUUUAUACCCCAAUCUGAGGUAUAAACUUGCUUUUUGUGGGAUCACAACUGCUGUAAAUUAGACAGUUGUAGCAACAAUCCAAGACAAUAACAGAAUGCCUAUGACAGUCUGCCAUAUUCUGGUGAGUGUCUAUCAAAGCUCAUCAUGAUUUUUUGUGAGAUCUUCCCCGUAAUUGGUAGCUUGGCUUCCAACAAACAUGUUCCAGUUCUCCAAUAUUUCCUCUUUAGUUAGCUUCUCAUCCUUGUUUUUGUCUGACUCAUAUACCAGAUGCCUGGCCUCAGCCUGUGCAUGAUCAUAAUCUUGAGGGAGGAUCCAGUGGCGAAUCUCAUCUUUGUCUAACUUCCCGUCCUUGUUCAGAUCCCGGAAUUCGUUAAACUGCUCCCGUUCUGAUAAAACCCAGUCUGGCUCAGGGCCAUUCUCCUCAUGGGAAAACAUAUCCGCAAUAUACUCAUCCUGAUCCACAAACCCAUCCCCGUUCUUGUCGAUGUCCUCCAGGGUUUCCAAAGCCACAAUUUCCUUCAUAUGUUCAAACUCUUCAGGAUGCAGAAAGGCAGUGAACUCCUCCGGAGUAGCUGUCAGGUCACCAUUGAGGUCUGCAGCUUUGAAUCUUCUCUCAUCACGUGGCAGCAUCUUUUUAAAGGUGUGAUGAUCUGAAGAAUCAUGAAACUCUGCGGGGUUUCCUAGGUAUAGUAACCAUAGGUGGCUUGUUUGUAUUCUUCCCAGGAAAUGUUAUCAUCCUUGUCCCUAUCAUAAUCCUUCCAGACUUUGGCGACAUUAUCAAAGAUGUAUCUUUUCUGCACCCGUUUGAUCCAGGUUUUCAGCUCCUCAGUAGUGACAAAGCCAUACCCAUCAUUGUCGAUUCGAUCAACAAUCUUCCCUAGCCUCUCCUUGCUCUCGUCCGGGGUGAGCUCGUCGAAGUUCUUGGAGUCCUCCUUGCCCAGGAAGGCCUCGUGGUCGUACUGGAAGCUCUGGUUGUCCUCAGGGGGCCGCUCGCCCAGCUCCGAGUCGGGCCGCACCACGCGCUCUUUGCGCACCGUGGGCUUGGCCCGCAGAACCCGCGGCGCCAGCACCAGCGCCAGCAGCAGCCCCAGGGCUAACCCCAGGCGGCCACCGCGCGCCAUCGUCCCGAGGAGAGGGCGGCCGGGAGGGAGACGCUGAGCGAGCGACAACAGCGGCAGCUCGGGAAUGGGGGCUCGGAGCGCGGCGGCCAAGUUUUAUGUUAUGUAUAUUUUACAAGUAAAAAAAUUUUUUCACCUCAGCCUGAACUGAACACUAGCUGACAGACGUUUUGAUUUCUUUGACCAUCACGGAAUCGUGGCCAAGCGCGGUGGCUCACAUCUGUAAUCCCAACACUUUGGGAGGUCAAGAUGGGCGGAUUGCUUGAAUCCAGGUGUUUGAGAUCAGCCUGGGCAACAUG
Molecule: long non-coding RNA, 2355 nt
Filed under: Homo sapiens (human)
Lineage: Eukaryota; Metazoa; Chordata; Mammalia; Primates; Hominidae
Description: non-protein coding TPT1-AS1:73
Source: RNAcentral